AGCCUCUUGAUGCUUACCACAGGCUGUGUGGUUACACUGCCUGUAUAAAACGAAGAGGUAGAGUAAACCUGCUCCAUAUACACCUCAGCUCAGGCCCUGUGUCUGGUCUGUAUUGCGAAUGGGAGAACACAG
RNAcentral lists this small nucleolar RNA (132 nucleotides) under Cebus imitator (Panamanian white-faced capuchin). Its description in RNAcentral is "Small nucleolar RNA SNORA51 (ENSCCAG00000001280.1)". It matches the Rfam family "Small nucleolar RNA SNORA51". Rfam says of the family: ACA51 is a member of the H/ACA class of snoRNA that guide the sites of modification of uridines to pseudouridines. The record is from Rfam by way of RNAcentral. Lineage: Eukaryota; Metazoa; Chordata; Mammalia; Primates; Cebidae.